UCAUGUUAAGGCUUGAAGGUCCAUAAACACGCAAUUCGGUCGUUUCCGAUUAUUCUGAUCUGCUUAAUGUCGCUGUUUUUGUCUGUCGGCCCUCCUUUUGGAUUAUUUAACUUACUUAAAAGAUUAGAGUUUUUGUACAAGUGAAUUUUACCAGUCAAGUGCUUUUCUUCAAAAGAACAAGAAAGCAGGCCGGGGAGUUCAAAAUAAACCGAUAGCCUGAUGUAGAGAAUGGAAACCGAGUCAUUUCGGUUCCGAAAGCCCGGAUUCCAAGGGCAAUGGCUUUAGACGAUUCUCCGUGACAUAAAGCUAACUAUCUAGGACAAACUAACUGGUGGGUAAAUGCACAUAUAGGUAAAAACCGGCACAAAUGAUUCCCGUUAGUGAUCCAAAGUCGAGCCACGUUGCAGACGUGAACCAGGUCCCGGAGCAAUAAUCACGUCGUUAGAGCCUUCUACAAAUCUACAUUCAUUCUCUCUCUCCCUCCGAUUCUUUAUUUUUCUAUUCGUAUCUGUUCUUCGGGUCGAAAAAGUACCGUAUUAGAAGCACCAUCAAUACAAUGGCUUUCUCUUCUGCAAAGCACUUGAUCCACUUUCACGGUCAUUUGGCCAAUUGGUGCCUUCAAGCACGGAUCCGUAGCCUUUACGAUUCCCUUCGGCGAAGGACAUGAGAUGGGGUUUUUUCUCGAUAAUAGCAUUGCCACCUCGCAAUCCAACGGAUUGAACCAGUCGCUUCCAUCUGGAAAAUCAAAUUGGCUAACGAUAGUUGAAGGGAAUUUUGUAGCAAACUUGAUCGUAUGCCAUUAUUGCACGUUUUAGUCCUCGUCUGCAUUAAACAUAAGAAGCAUUGUGUCUUAAAGCAUACAAUAUACUAUAAGAAAAAAUAUAUUAUAAAGACCCCCAGGUAUAAUACAAAACAAU
Long non-coding RNA from Cimex lectularius (bed bug), 917 nucleotides. RefSeq lists it as uncharacterized. The record is from RefSeq and is a predicted model, not a curated record. NCBI's taxonomy places the organism in Eukaryota, Metazoa, Arthropoda, Insecta, Hemiptera, Cimicidae. The transcript is spliced from 3 exons.